UCUCCGUAGGUGAACCUGCGGAGGGAUCAUUACCGAGUGAGGGGGCCCCGUGCCCCCGACCUCCAACCCUUUUGUGAACCACCUCGUUGCUUCGGGGGCGACCCUGCCGUUCGCGGCGUGGGGCCCCCGGAGCCCAUCAAACCCUGCGUAACUAAGUCGUCGGAGUUUAUACAAAUUAAACAAAACUUUCAACAACGGAUCUCUUGGUUCGGGCAUCGAUGAAGAACGCAGC
This 232-nucleotide unclassified non-coding RNA is filed under the name uncultured fungus. Its description in RNAcentral is "sequence contains ITS1, 5.8S rRNA gene". The stretch from base 184 to 232 matches the Rfam family "5.8S ribosomal RNA", at positions 1 to 49 of the family's 154-position model. Lineage: Eukaryota; Fungi. The record is from RNAcentral.